GCGGCAUGCCUUACACAUGCAAGUCGAACGGCAGCACGGGGGCGACCCUGGUGGCGAGUGGCGAACGGGUGAGUAAUACAUCGGAACGUAUCCUUAAGUGGGGGAUAACGCAUCGAAAGAUGUGCUAAUACCGCAUGGGCUCUGAGGAGCAAAGCAGGGGCUCGCAAGACCUCGCGCGAUUGGAGCGGCCGAUAUCAGAUUAGGUAGUUGGUGGGGUAAAAGCCCACCAAGCCGACGAUCUGUAGCUGGUCUGAGAGGACGACCAGCCACACUGGGACUGAGACACGGCCCAGACUCCUACGGGAGGCAGCAGUGGGGAAUUUUGGACAAUGGGCGCAAGCCUGAUCCAGCAAUGCCGCGUGCAGGACGAAGGCCUUCGGGUUGUAAACUGCUUUUGUACGGAGCGAAACGGUCUGGGUUAAUACCCUGGGCUNAUGACGGACCCGUAAGAAUAA
This 455-nucleotide ribosomal RNA is filed under the name uncultured Acidovorax sp. RNAcentral describes it as "bacterial SSU rRNA". It matches the Rfam family "Bacterial small subunit ribosomal RNA", at positions 39 to 489 of the family's 1533-position model. Lineage: Bacteria; Pseudomonadati; Pseudomonadota; Betaproteobacteria; Burkholderiales; Comamonadaceae. The record is from RNAcentral.